This 509-nucleotide ribosomal RNA is filed under the name Sepiadarium austrinum. RNAcentral's name for it is "partial 16S ribosomal RNA". It matches the Rfam family "Bacterial large subunit ribosomal RNA", at positions 1817 to 2596 of the family's 2925-position model. The record is from RNAcentral. Lineage: Eukaryota; Metazoa; Mollusca; Cephalopoda; Sepiida; Sepiadariidae.
GUCUCUUUGUAUUUUGUAAAUAAGGAGUUAGACCUGCUCGGUGAUAUAAUUUUUAACAGCUGCGGUAUUUUAACUGUACUAAGGUAGCAUAAUAGUUUGCCUUAUAAAUUGAGGCUAGAAUGAAAGGUUUGACGAAGGUUAGUCUGUCUCUAUAUUAUUUAUUAGAAAUUAAUUUCUAUAGUGAAAAAGCUUGAAUUUUUUAAAGGGACGAGAAGACCCUGUUGAGCUUAAAAUUUUAAUAUUAUUAAACUGAUUUAAUAAUAGAUAAAUUUUGAUUGGGGUGAUUAAGGGAUAAAUAUGUUUUAUUUAAUAACUCCCUUAGUAUUAAUAAUUUAUUUGUAAGAAUUAACCAAUGAUAUUAUAUUGCUUUUAUGUAGUUACCACAGGGAUAACAGCGUAAUUUACUUAGAGAGUUCUUAUUAAAAAGUGAGUUUGCGACCUCGAUGUUGGAUUAAAAUAACCUUAAGGUGUAGAAGCUUUGAUAGGUAAAUCUGUUCGAUUUUAAAUUU